This 9974-nucleotide long non-coding RNA is filed under the name Lactuca sativa (garden lettuce). RNAcentral's name for it is "long non-coding RNA (LSAT_LNC005069)". The record is from RNAcentral. Lineage: Eukaryota; Viridiplantae; Streptophyta; Magnoliopsida; Asterales; Asteraceae.
UCCAUUUUUCCUUGCAAAACCGAACCAACACCCCAAGGUGAGAUUCAUACCCCUAUUUUCUGUUUUUAUGAGUUUUUUGGGGGGGGGAAUACAAGUGAAAGUGUAGAUCUAUAUGUGUUUGUAUGCCUUGUAUGAUUUCCAUGCUUAUAUGUAUGCUUAUAUGUGUUUUAAUGUUGGAUCUAGCCAUUAAACCCCUCAAAACCGAGAUAUAACUUAUGUUUUAUGAUUUUAGCUUCAAAUAUAUUUCUACAUAUAAAGUGAUACAAGAAAAAUAGCUAAGUGGUUAGCAACAAUUUUCUUUAAGCUAAAAACACAAAUUUUGGGCCAAAAAUGUGAAAAAUACAAAAUUAAGGGCCCAAAUUGACAUUUCACAGAUUCUGAUGGAUGAAGUGUGCCAAAACAGUUUCCAUAAAACUAUUUCUGGAAUUAUAUUCAAUUAGAGGAUUAAAAACAUAAAUUUCAAGCUUAAUGGGCUAAAAAUGACAUUUUCGGCCCAAUGAGGCCCAUUAUGCGAAUUUUUCUGUUUUGGAGGGCCAAAACUGUGAAUUUCUGUAAAACAGUGGACUAUAAGUGUCCCAAAUCCUUUUCAAAGGUUUAAAAUGCUUUUUAAAUUUAAAAAGGACCAAAGUUGCAAAAAUUUUCCAAUUUGGGCCAAAAUUGUCAAAGUUGCGAAAAUAAGGGAUUAAAACCGAGAAAACUGCAUUUUCAGGGACUUAAACUGUUUUCUAUGAAAAAUAUGCUGAAAAAUAUUAAUUUCAAUAAUUUUUGGUGUUAAAAUGUCAAGAAAAAUAGUUUAAGGACCAAACCGGGAAGUAUUUAAUAAAAAGGGUUGAAAAUGUAAAUUUUACAAAUAAUGAGGGGCUGAAAACAGGAAUAUUUCAAGGCUAAUUCAAUAUACACAAUUUGAUUAAAUAAUGGCAUCGCGGCUAUCGACGAAAUACAAUACACUACAAUACCAAAAGUCGUUGUUAAACGAAUUGGUUCGGUCUCGAACCAAUAAAAUCCGAAACUACUAACACUACGACACUAUGACACUACGACACUAUGACGCUAUGACACUACGACACUACGAUUCAUACAACUAACGAUUUGGAAUUCACUAUACAUACGAGUGUGCACAGACGUCUACGCACCAUCUUUGGGCCCCAAAAGUGUAAAAUCUUGUUCGUUGAGCCUAGCUAGCCCAAUGACCUGAUCUUAAGGCCCGAAGACCUCUAUCUUACGAAGUGUUGGGUUUUACCAAUCCGACACGACGUAACCGGACUUUCAAUGGCUGUAGACUACUGGUCCCCAAGGGUCCUUUAGUGUCGCCAGUGGAGUCUGCCUUUUUGCGAGGCGGGUCUGGGACCCCUCGUACAUUUUAUCCCCAACCGGUUAAUGGAGUCACCGGGGUCUUCGUGACCUCUUUCUCUUCGGAUGUGGGACUACACCUAGUCAGGGCGAUUGGAUAACGCGAUUAGUACUGACGACGCCUUCGGGUUCGUUAGUAUAACUAUAAACUGGGCGUUUGUGUAACGCGGGUUUGUAGUAAAUAAUCCUGCUCGAGAACCUUCCAACGUCGCCUGUGACUGACACUAUACGCUAUGCAAUGGUUUCAAUGUAACUUCAUGUAAUUCAAGGAACUAGGAGAACAUCGGGUUUUCCUAGGGUUUUCAAUACAUACAGAUUUGAAAUGCAUACAUCUUCAAUGAAAAUUUUUUUUACAAGUAUAGAAACAAACAAGCAUACCUAUGGAUCUUCACAAACGUUUUCGAAAGCUUUUCUUUUCAGAAAAUAUCGGAUUUUCUGGUGGUUUUUCAAACAAUAUAAACAUUCGAUUUCAAACACUACUUAUGAACUCACCAACAUUUCAUAUGUUGACGUUUUUCAAAAUACUUGUAUUCUCAGGGAACCAGUGAAUCAAGGGAAAUCAUACUCAGUGACGGUUGCAGUUUAUUUUUGAAUGAACCAAACAACAUUAAUUUUUGGAAAUGUAAUGUCUUAAACAAUGUAUGACAUGUAAACACUACUGGUUGUACUAUGUUGAUGAAUGGUGACGAAUGUUGUUUUGUUUCAUAUAUAUUCAAUGUUAUGGUAUUCAAUUGAGUCACGACAGCCCCCGGACGUUUCCGCCGUCUGGUUCGGGGGUGUGACAGGUUGGUAUCAGAGCUUUGUUUAUAGUGAACUAGCAUGUCGAGCCAUACAUUGAUAUGCAACUAUAAACCAAAAAGAGGGACUAACAUAACUCUGAACAAAACAAAUGAAUAAAAUACACUUGCUUGCAUUAGGAGUAAGGACCUAACGCUGAAUCAAACACCAUAAUACUGGUAUCUCGGUUAAUUCGGGACUGUUCUUAGUGAUACCAAGGAGUGAAUGUAGCCUGAUCAACUACAUUCUCUCCAAGGUAAAACUAACACAUGUCUUGAUGAGAUCGGAAUAGCCAGGGAACCUAAAAAUUUUACCCUAUAUCACCCAAAAAGAGAAUAUUUGCUUAGUCUGUGUAAUAGUCAUAGUACCCUAGGAAUAAUGUAGCAUAAUUACGUACUCGCGCAGACAGCAUGGCUGGUUUUCAUCACCCUGGAGACCCCUACUUCCCUAAUCAGGGAAACAACGGGUGGCUAGAGGAGGAGGAGGAGCCUGAGGAGGAGCAGCCGGGUAUCCAGUUUCAUCAGGCCUUAGUAGCUCACGGGAUGCUGGUGGAUGAGCCGGGAGAGCAUCCAGGAGAAGCACACGACGUCGAACCCGACGAAUAUAUAGACACCGACUACGAAUUUGGAGAGGUCGACGAUGACGACGAGGAGGGUCAGGUCGGGGGCCAGGACCCCAUCCCACCAUGCGAGGACGAGGCACAACCAGAUCACCCCGCUCCACCAGUGAACCCCCCAAGGGAGAACCGUUCCCUCGAAGCUGAGAUCGCCGCACUGCGACAACAGCUGUAUGCUAUGGAAGCUCGGGCAGUGAGAGCAGAGCACGAGAGGGAUGAAGUUAUAGGAGACAUGGCAGAGAUGGCGCAGCUACUGGCGCAACAUUUCGGCAUAUGACUUCGGCACCACCUCCUGACGCAGCUCAUCGCGGUUAGGGAUAGACCUAUCGUAGUAGGAUAUUAGUAACUAUGUUAUGUACUCCGGCUCUAUGUUUAAGUGACUACACUACUCAUGGAGCCGUUAUGCUGUCGGAUUAGUGUUACUUAUGUAUGCUCCUACGAGCAAAUUUUCUUGUACUAAACACGGAUAAUAUUAAUAAACUUUUGUGUGUUUUGCUAUGAUAUUCUCAGUUGUUAUAUGUUGAGGUGUUAUGAUUGUAUGCUUGAUGAUAGUAAUGCUUAGGUUCGUACCCUACACCUAGUUAGUAGGAUCAUAACCUCACCGAAACCACGUACACUCAACAUCUUUCCGUUUCAUGACAGAAAGAUGCCUCGCCCAGCUACUCGCGGAAAUCCCGAACCAACCCCGCCGGAAGUUGACUCCACUGCUUUCCAGGCAGCCGUGUCUGCUGCGGUCACAGCGGCUAUGGCACAACUUCACCGAGGGAACAACGGAGGAGGUAACGGGCAAGGAUCCGGAAGUUCGAACAACGGGACGAACCAAGGACUCACUAAAACGUGCACCUACAAGGAUUUUGCGAACGCUAAACCCCGAACUUUCAACGGUACCGGAGGAGUGAUCGCCCUAAAGCGAUGGAUCGAGAAGGUAGAGUCGGUAUUCGAGAUAUGCGAGUGCCCCGAGCAGAUGAAAGUGAAGUUCGCGGCCUGCACUUUUGUGGACCAAGCACUCACUUGGUGGAAUGGUCAUGUGGAAGCUAUGACACUCCCUGUCGCCAACUCUAUUCCCUGGGCAGAGAUGAAAGAGAUGUUGACGGCUGAGUACUGCCCCCGAGGCGAAAUACAGAAGAUGGAGCAGGAACUAUGGAAUCUCACGGUGCAGAAUGGGAACAUCGAUGCUUACAUAUCGAGAUUCAGCGAACUAUCUCUGUUGUGCCCGGGUAUGAUCACAUCAGAGGGGAAGAAGAUUGAACGAUUCAUUUGGGGACUGACAUCCCCCAUUCAAGGGAACGUGAUAGCUGCUAACCCUGAAACGUUUGACAGCGCGAAGAGAUUGGCAAAGAGGCUCUAUGAUCAUAACCACAAAAAGGGCGAGAAACCGGUAGAGACUGAGAAGAAGAAGGAGAGCGAUGGUAAGAAAGGAUGGAACAACAAGAGGAAGGGGCGUCAAGGUCCCGAGACCUCUAAAAAGCAGCAAACGGUGGCAGUUCACGCUGUCACUGCGCCGGUACCAGUCACAUCACAUGCUCCAGCCUCAGCUACUUCAAAUACUUCAAGACCCUAUUCCGGCACUCAUCCCAAAUGCAACAAGUGCGGUUUCCAUCACCAAGGAGAAUGUAGGGAGUUCCAUUGCACCAGUUGCAACCGAAGGGGACACACUGCAAAGUUCUGCAGGACUUAUCCUUCUCAGAACCAGAGUCAGGGAAACAACCAGAACAACAACAACAACCACCGCAACACCAACAACACCAAUGCCGGCGGCAACAACGCAGGGCCUAGCCACACCUGUUUCGGGUGUGGAAGGACGGGACAUUUCCGUCGAGAUUGCCCUAACAACAACAACUCAGGAAACAGAGGAGCAGGAAGAAUGCUGACUAUGGGUCAGAGUGAUGCAGUUCAGGACCCCGCAGUUGUGACCGGUACGUUUCUCCUAAACCACACUUAUGCAUGCAUCUUAUUUGAUACCGGAGCGGAGCGAAGUUUCGUAAGCGAGAAGUUUAAACAUUUACUAAAACAACAACCCCAGAAGCUAAAUGAAACCUAUACGGUGGAAAUGGCCAAUGGGAAAACCGAAUCCACUAGGGAGAUCUACAUCGGAUGUACCCUAACCCUUAACCAGCACGUCUUUCGAAUAGACCUAAUGCCAGUAUCAAUUAGGAGUUUCGAUGUGAUUAUCGGCAUGGAUUGGUUAAGCCCCCACCAUGCUGAGAUUAUGUGCCACGAGAAGGCCGUUCGCCUUCGUCUCCCGAAUCACGAAACCCUAGUAAUUUACGGAGACAAACCUAGCACGAAUCUUCGUCUUAUCUCGUGCAUCAAAGCACAAAAACAUCUGCGAAAGAACAACUUAGCGUUCUUGGCCCACAUAGUGGACAAGACCAAAGAAGAAACUAACAUCCAAGACAUUCCGGUAGCGUGUGAAUUUCCGGACGUGUUUCCCGAAGAUCUUCCAGGAGUACCCCCAGAGAGACAGGUUGAGUUCCGAAUCGACCUCGUUCCAGGAGCAACUCCUCUCGCUAAAUCACCAUAUCGGUUGGCACCUGCUGAAAUGCAGGAAUUGUCCAGCCAACUCAGUGAGCUUCUGGACAAGGGAUUUAUCCGACCUAGCUACUCGCCAUGGGGAGCUCCGGUGCUCUUUGUCAAAAAGAAGGAUGGAUCUUUCAGAAUGUGCAUCGAUUACAGAGAGUUGAAUAAACUCACUGUUAAAAACCGCUACCCACUCCCGCGAAUCGAUGAUCUAUUCGACCAGCUCCAAGGAGCUAGCUAUUUUUCUAAAAUAGAUCUACGGUCCGGAUACCAUCAACUCAAGGUCCGAGAAGAAGAUAUUCCUAAAACCGCUUUCCGAACCCGCUAUGGACAUUAUGAAUUCGUCGUAAUGCCCUUCGGUCUAACAAAUGCACCUGCCGCAUUUAUGGACCUAAUGAACCGAAUCUGUCGACCGUUCUUGGACAACUUCGUCAUUGUGUUUAUCGAUGACAUCCUCGUCUAUUCUCGAAGCAAAGAGGAGCAUGGCCAACAUCUCCGACAAGUCCUAGAGACGCUGCGAUCGGAAAGGCUUUACGCCAAACUCUCUAAGUGUGAGUUUUGGCUACGGAGCGUGAAUUUUCUAGGUCACGUAGUUAGCCAAGAUGGAAUUCAUGUGGAUCCCUCUAAGGUCAAAGCUGUGGAAGGAUGGGCAACUCCGACUACGCCCACAGAAAUUCGUCAGUUCUUAGGCCUAGCAGGCUACUAUAGGAGAUUCAUCCAAAACUUCUCAAAAAUCGCCAAGCCACUUACCUUGCUUACGCAAAAGAGCGUGCCAUUCAAGUGGACAGACCGACAAGAGAUUGCGUUUCGAACCUUGAAGCAAGCUCUUUGCAGCGCUCCUGUACUAUCUCUACCUGAAGGAACGGAAGAUUUUGUAGUUUACUGUGACGCGUCAAAUCAAGGCUUAGGUUGCGUUCUCAUGCAACGUGGAAGAGUGAUAGCAUAUGCGUCCCGUCAACUAAAGGCGCACGAAGUAAAUUACACAACCCAUGACCUAGAACUGGGAGCUGUGGUCUUCGCUCUAAAAAUUUGGAGGCACUACCUGUACGGUACAAAGUGCACCAUCUUUACGGACCACAAGAGCCUCCAGCACAUCUUGAAUCAGAAGGAGCUGAACAUGAGACAACGAAGAUGGGUGGAAUUGUUAAACGACUACGAAUGCGAGAUCAAGUACCAUCCAGGCAAGGCCAACGUGGUAGCUGACGCAUUAAGUCGGAAGGAAUACACAAAUCGCCGUACGAAAACGCACUCGAUAACCAUUCAGUCUCAUCUGACCACUCAAAUUGCAUCAGUCCAGGCAGAGGCUAUGAAAGCGGAAAAUAGAACUAGCGAGGCAUUACGCGGAAUGGAGAAGAACCUGGAAGUCAAAGAGAAUGGGGUAUACUACUUCAUGAACCGUAUUUGGGUUCCAAAAAUCGGAGGAUUCAGGGAGACCGUUAUGAAGGAAGCCCACAAGACACGAUACUCCAUUCAUCCUGGUUCGGACAAGAUGUAUUUGGACAUUAAGCAGCACUAUUGGUGGCCUAACAUGAAGGCGGAAAUCGCAACUUAUGUUAGUAAGUGCCUUACGUGUGCCAAAGUAAAAGUGGAAUACCAGAAACCUUCCGGAUUGUUACAGCAACCGGCAAUCCCUGAGUGGAAAUGGGAGGGGAUUUCUAUGGACUUCGUGACCAAGCUGCCCAAGACGUCGGACGGAUUGGACACCAUAUGGGUAAUAAUCGACCGACUGACGAAAUCUGCCCAUUUCCUGCCAAUCAAAGAGUCCUACAAGAUGGAGAGGCUGACGCGUUUGUACCUACGAGAGAUUGUAAGACUUCAUGGAGUGCCAAAAUCUAUCAUCUCGGAUAGGGACAGUAGGUUCACGUCACGCUUUUGGCAGUCGCUCCACAAGGCAAUGGGAACUCAUCUUGAUAUGAGCACCGCGUAUCACCCACAAACGGACGGUCAAAGCGAACGAACCAUUCAGACGCUUGAAGACAUGCUUCGUGCAUGUGUGAUAGACUUCGGAAAGUCUUGGGAUACCCACCUACCGUUGAUCGAGUUUUCAUAUAACAAUAGUUAUCAUUCGAGCAUUAAGGUGGCCCCUUUCGAAGCACUGUACGGGCGUAAAUGUAGAUCACCGUUAUGUUGGGCUGAAGUAGGUGACACCCAGCUAGCAAGAACACAUACGUCGGAUAGGGCAAUGACAGGACCGGAAAUCAUUCGCGAGACCACAGAAAAGAUUGUCCAGAUCAAAGCUCGAUUACAGGCAUCGCGUGACCGGCAAAAGAGCUACGCUGAUAAACGGCGAAAGCCCUUAGAGUUCCAGGUCGGUGAUCGAGUAUUGUUGAAGGUCUCACCCUGGAAAGGGGUUAUACGUUUCGGAAAACGAGGAAAGCUAAACCCACGGUACAUUGGACCUUUCGAAAUCGUCGCCCGAAUAGGUCCGGUAGCCUACAGACUACAACUACCCCCGGAGCUAAACGGUGUGCACCCCGUGUUUCAUGUUUCUAAUCUGAAAAAGUGCCUAUCAGAUGAAACUCUUGUCAUUCCUCUUGACGAAAUCGAAAUCAAUGAGAAUCUCCUGUUCGUCGAAGAACCAAUCGAAAUCAUGGACAGGGAGGUGAAGCGUACUAAGCAGAGUCGCAUCCCGAUCGUGAAGGUACGGUGGAACGCAAAGCGUGGGCCAGAAUUCACGUGGGAACGCGAAGAUCAAAUGAAGCAGAAGUACCCUCACCUAUUCUAGUUUUCUCAAAUCUAGCUUUCAAACAGAAUUUCGGGACGAAAUUCCCUUUAACGGGGGGAUGAUGUCACAACUGUGAAUUUUAAGCUAUGUAAUCUAUACAUUCAAGUUAAUGUGAAUCAAAAACUUUAACCAAAUACAAGAUACAAGUACUAUAGAUAGUCAUCAAACAAUUGGAGACCCUAGAAGUUUUGGUUAAGUCCAUUUUGGACUAAGACUUCCUUAUUGGAUCCAAAUGGACCAAUAAGCUUCCAAUUGGACUAUCAUGGGUUUAGGACCCUAAUUGGGCUCUAAUUGGACCCACAUUCGUUUAUUUCAAUAUUUUGGGCUAGGUAGAACCUAGAAGGAAAUAAAACACAAGUUUUGAUCCAUAAUUAAACCUAACCUAGCUUAAUAAAGCACAAAAAUCACAAUUUUAUUUUAUAAGUCCAAUAAAUACCCUAAACUACCUCUAAUGUUGGGCUUGGGGGCAAAAGCCCAAAUUUUUCCUCUUUCCCUUCAUAUUCUCGGCCCAAGGCCCAAAUCCAAGGGGAAUUGACUAGUGUUGCCACCUCACUAUUACCUAAUGGAUUUCUAGGCAUAUAUCACAUACCUCCAUGCAUGUAUCACUUCAAGAGUCACUUCUUUCUCUCUUCUCUUCUUGCUCUCGGCCAAGCAUCAUCACACACACCAAAAUAUCUCAACUUUCUCUCUAGAACACUCAAAGAACUCUCCUUCCCUCCCCUCUCCAAAAAUCUCGAAAUUUAGGGACUUUCCAAGAGGAUUUUGCAAGUAAAUCAUCAUCUAAGGUAAGAUUAUGCAUAGAUCUAUGGUUUAAAUUCUUUUGUUAUCAAAAUCUCUUCCUAAUCCAUGUAAAAACCGUGAUCUUGCACUCUAGAAACCCCAUAAUCUCGAAAAGUUCAUCAAGGAGUGCAAGGGCCAAAAAUCACUUCAUUUCUUCCAAUUUUUCUUCAAGAACCGAAACUACCCACCCAAGGUGAGAUUCAUACCCCUAUUUUCUGUUUUUAAGAGUUUUUGUGGGGGGGAAUACAAGUGAAAGUGUAGAUCUAUAUGUAUUUGUAUGCCUUGUAUGAUUUCCAUGCUUAUAUGUAUGCUUAUAUGUGUUUUAAUGUUGGAUCUAGCCAUUAAACCCCUCAAAACCGAGAUAUAACUCAUGUUUUAUGAUAUUAGCUUCAAAUAUGUUACUACAUAAUAAGUGAUACUAGAUAAAUAGCCAAGUGGUUAGCAACAAUUUUCUUUAAGCUAAAAACACACAUCUUGGGCCAAAAAUGUGAAAAAUACAAAAUUAAGGGCCCAAAAUGACAUUUUACAGAUUCUGAUGGUUGAAAUGUGUCAAAACAGUUUCAAUAAAGCUAUUUCUGGAAUUCUAUUCAAUUGGUGGAUUAAAAACAUAAAUUUCAAGCCUAUUGGGCUAAAAAUGCAAAUUUCGGCCCAAUAAGGCCCAAUAUGCGAAUUUUUCUGUUUUGGAGGGCCAAAACUGUAACUUUCUGUAAAACAGUGGACUAUAAGUGUUCCAAAUCCUUUUCAAAGGUUUAAAAUGCUUUUUAAAUUUAAAAAGGACCAAAGUUGCAAAAAUUUUCCAUUUUGGGCCAAAAUUGUCAAAAUUGCGAAAAGAUGGGCUAAAACCGAGAAAAACUGCAUUUUCAGGGACUUAAACUGUUUUCUUUGAAAAAUAUGCUGGAAAAUAUUAAUUUCAAUAAUUUUUGGUGUUAAAAUGUCAAGAAAAAUAGUUUAAGGACCAAACCGGGAAAUAUUCAAAUAAAAGGGUUGAAAAUGUAAAUUUUACAAAUAAUGAGGGGCUGAAAACAGAAAUAUUUCAAGGCUGAUUCAUUAUGUACAAUGUGAUCAAAUAAUGACACCUCAACUACCAACGAAAUACAACUCAUUACAAUACCAAAAGUCGUUGCUAAACGAAUUGGCUCGGUCUCGAGCCAAUGGAAAUCUACAACUACUAACUCUUUGAUACAUACAAAUAACGAUUGGUAAUAC